UCCCCUAGUAACGGCGAGUGAACCGGGAAGAGCUCAAAUUUGAAAUCUGGCGUCCUCAGGGCGUCCGAGUUGUAAUCUAUAGAGGCGUUUUCCGUGCCGGACCGUGUCCAAGUCCCUUGGAACAGGGUAUCAAAGAGGGUGACAAUCCCGUACUUGACACGAUGACCGGUGCUCUGUGAUACGUCUUCUACGAGUCGAGUUGUUUGGGAAUGCAGCUCAAAAUGGGUGGUGAGUUCCAUCUAAAGCUAAAUAUUGGCGAGAGACCGAUAGCGAACAAGUACCGUGAGGGAAAGAUGAAAAGCACUUUGGAAAGAGAGUUAAACAGUACGUGAAAUUGUUGAAAGGGAAACGAUUGAAGUCAGUCGUGACUGUUGGGCUCAGCCAGCUCUGCUGGUGUAUUCCCUUCAGUCGGGUCAACAUCAGUUUUGACCGGUGGAUAAUGGCAGCAGGAAUGUGGCACCCUCGGGUGUGUUAUAGCCUGUCGUCGCAUACAUCGGUUGAGACUGAGGAACGCAGCUCGCCUUUAUGGCCGGGGUCGCCCACGUCCGAGCUAC
Molecule: ribosomal RNA, 554 nt
Filed under: Rhynchogastrema noutii
Lineage: Eukaryota; Fungi; Basidiomycota; Tremellomycetes; Tremellales; Rhynchogastremaceae
Description: LSU rRNA
Rfam family: Eukaryotic large subunit ribosomal RNA
Source: RNAcentral